RNAcentral lists this non-coding RNA (689 nucleotides) under Smaragdinella calyculata. Lineage: Eukaryota; Metazoa; Mollusca; Gastropoda; Cephalaspidea; Smaragdinellidae. The record is from RNAcentral.
GAUUUGCCCCCAAUAAACCUAAACACUUGCAUGGUAGUUAUUCGCGACUUUUAACCCAGCCAGGGAUAUUAAACAAUAUUUGAAAAAAUAAUUUAAUUUAGGUUAAUCUUUGACUAAAUUAGGUGCCAGCAGUCGCGGUCAGACCUAAAAAGUAUUGGAAGAAAUAGAGUUUGAUUUAAGGAAAAGGUGUAAUAUUUAGUGAAAUGAGAUUGUACCCUGAUUCUCCUCCUUAAAGUAUUCAUUAAAGGUAAAAAAUAAACUAGGAUUAGAUACCCUACUAUUAACCCACAAGAAAAACUCUAAGCACUACGGUUUUAAAACUAAAACUUAAAUAACAUGGCGGCGAGCUUAAAUUUCAGAGGAACCUACCAGAUAAAUGAUAACCCGCAAUUUAUUCUUACUUUACCUAAAAGUUUAUAUAUCGCCGUCUAGUAAUCUUUCAAGAAGGUUACAAAAUGUAAAACUACAGAAAGACAGGUCAUGACAUAGCGUAUGGUGAAGACAUGAGGUGGGUUACAAUAAGAAUCUCUUUCAGGAAACCGUCUAAAGACGGCAUAAAGAUGGAUUUGAAAGUAAUAAUUAAUAUAAAUAUAUUUUGAAUGUUUCUAAGUUCGUGCACAAAUCGCCCGUCACUCUCGUUGUAACACGAGAUAAGUCGUAACACAGUAGAGGUACCGGAAGGUGUUUCU